This 386-nucleotide small RNA is filed under the name Pongo abelii (Sumatran orangutan). RNAcentral describes it as "processed transcript". Lineage: Eukaryota; Metazoa; Chordata; Mammalia; Primates; Hominidae. The record is from RNAcentral.
AUAGUUCCUAAAGUUAACAUGUUAGAUCUUUUUUUUUCCACCCCAUGAGGGUCUCACUCUCACCCAGGCUGGAAUGCAGUGGUGUGAUUGUAGCACACUUUGGCCACCAACUCUUGGGCUCAAGUGAUCCUCCUGCCUUGGCCUCCUCUAAGCUGGGAUUACUGGCACCUGCCAUCACGCUCAGCUAAUUUUUGUAUUUUGAGCAGAGAUGGGGUUUCACCAUGUUGGCCAGGUGAUCCGCACCCCCACUCCCCCCACCCCUCCCAAAGUGCUGGGAUUACAGGCAUAAGCCACAAGCCACCUCGCCCAGCCAAUAUGUUACAUCUUAAUUCUUGGGUUUUCUUCACUGCAGGGUUUUGGGUGGAGAAAUAAAACUCUUCAAAUGC